This is a long non-coding RNA of Schistocerca piceifrons (Central American locust), 798 nucleotides long. RefSeq lists it as uncharacterized. The record is from RefSeq and is a predicted model, not a curated record. NCBI's taxonomy places the organism in Eukaryota, Metazoa, Arthropoda, Insecta, Orthoptera, Acrididae. The transcript is spliced from 4 exons.
CUCCUGUUGAAAUAUCGGCGGUGGUCGACGACGUCACCCGGCAGCAAACCCGUACUGUCAGCCUUUUUUGAGAACUGAUGACUUACCACUCAGUUGAAAUGGAUGACUCAUUUACACUAAUAAAAAUUAUAUACUUAAAUGAAUAAAACUGUUUGGGAUCCAAGAAUAAGAACUGCAGAGAAGAAACCAAAGGUAUCAACACGACUGCUCUGUUGUUGAGAAUUUGCUGAUUGCUCAGAUUGAUACACUGCGCCCGUUCCCGUUACAUUUCAACAGGUGGGAUAUACUUAUUGAUGAAUGCUAUUCGAAGAGGAUAAUAAUGGAUUUCACGAGAAUUUUGAAGACUAAGUGGACACAGAUGGUGAAGACGUAGUUGAAGUCCAGCCAGAAGACUCAGAAACAGAGUAAGAUGACAUUGAAGAUGACGAGGAAGUACUUGAUGAAAAGGGCCAUUACUAUAUUGGACAAAAUGGAAUAAAGUUCCACCAUCGCAGAGAGUACGAUUCAGGGCUCUCAAUGUUAUUCGGAAGUUAUCUGGACUUGUAGGUGUGGCAAAAGCAGAAAGAACAUCUUUGGAAGGCCGAAAUUGCCUCAUAGAUGACGAAAUUUUGUCUAUUAUAGUGUUGUGUACAAAUCAGUAUAUUGAGAGCGUCAAAGCUACAUUCCAGAGUGAGAGAGACGUAAAACAAAUAGACAUUAUUGAAUUGGAAGCCUUCAUCUGUCUCUUAUUUUUAGCUGGAGUAAACAAAAGUAACAGACAAAGCUUAGAGGAUCUGUGGGGAACUCAUGGGGAUGGCA